AUCGUAAAGAGCAGUCGUCGUGGGCAGGAGAAUUUAUUUGAACACAUCCGUCUGUCCAUUCUUCGGAACAGUGUGAGGAAAAACGAAAAACUAAGACGUCCUUUCAGCGAGAAGACCACAGCGGACAUCAUACCAACCGAUCACUGGCUGAGGUCAUGUGGAAAGACUGGAGAUCUACAGCAGCAUUGCAGUCCAGCCAGAUGAUCAACCAGUAGCUGCUCGCAUCUCAGCCUGCUUGAUGGAAAUUUCCGACUUUCACCUGGAUGACCUUCACCUUCAACUCCACCUUGCCAAGACAGAAGUUCUCGUGGUUUCAGCCACCCAUCCUUUGUGUUAUAAUCAAUCAGUUAAACUUCACAGACUACAGUGCUGGAACUGCCUGAUCUUGAAGAUUUGCCCAGUACAACAUUGGGAAGACCAGGCCAUUCCUAUCGGAAAAUGCUACACAACAGAACAACAACUGGCUCUGCAAGCCUGUACCUAUACGCCCUCCAGAAGCUUGUGCUCUGAAAGUGAACAGCAUCUUGUGGUGCCAUCCC
Long non-coding RNA from Megalobrama amblycephala (Wuchang bream), 539 nucleotides. RefSeq lists it as uncharacterized. The record is from RefSeq and is a predicted model, not a curated record. The transcript is spliced from 3 exons. Lineage: Eukaryota; Metazoa; Chordata; Actinopteri; Cypriniformes; Xenocyprididae.